GGCGGGAUGGCUGAGUGGUCUAAAGCGCCAGACUCGAAAUCUGGUCUCUUCGGAGGCGUCGGUUCGAAUCCGGCUCCCGUCG
The sequence is a transfer RNA, 82 nucleotides long. It matches the Rfam family "tRNA". From Rfam's summary of the family: Transfer RNA (tRNA) molecules are approximately 80 nucleotides in length. The record is from Rfam.